Molecule: small RNA, 95 nt
Filed under: Photobacterium jeanii
Lineage: Bacteria; Pseudomonadati; Pseudomonadota; Gammaproteobacteria; Vibrionales; Vibrionaceae
Description: sraA
Rfam family: sraA
Source: Rfam by way of RNAcentral
GUAUACCUGAGUAUAUGGGGGUAAAGGCGCAAGAUUCAACGGCAGAAACAACAGAAAAUAAAAAAGGAGGCAUUAGCCUCCUUUUUUUAGUCACU